UGCAUCUUGUUCGCCGUAGUCGGAAUCCCGCCGGAGCCACGAAACCACCGGAAGCCUACGUCGGAACUUGAAGACGUUGUCGAGUACACUACCAGGAGUUCCAACAACCCACCGGAGUCCGAGGGAUCUACCAGAGACACCUACAGCAGCGGGGACAAAGCCGUAGUCGGAACCGGGAUCACGUCGACGUUCGUGUCGUCACCGUUCGGUUAAUCACUUUUGUUCAUCCUCUUGGUUUCCUAUCAAUUACUCGUGCAUUAUUACAAGAAAACGCAAAGCAACCAAUGUUGAUAGACAAGAUGAUGAAGAAGCAAGUUAGGGUGGACUAGAAACUCACCUAGAAAAUAAACUAUGUUUUAAAUUUGAUUUAUGUUUUGAUCAUGUUGAACAAUGUAUGACAUUUUAGUCAUUUAUGAAAUUUGACUUAAUCAAUAUUGUCACAAAUAGUGUUAUGUUGUUUUGAGCAAUUUGUUCGUCUCAUCCCGAUGUUUCCGCCAUCGGUUGGGGUGUGACAGAUUGGUAUCAGAGCCAUAACUAUAGGGAAUUAGGUAGGAUUGCCUUACUUUUGCUUAGCCUAUAGUAGGAGUACUCUGAUACCGGAUUGGUAUCAGAGCCAUAACUAUAGGGAAUUAGGAAUGCCAUGCCUAGUCUAUAGUUUAAGAGCUUAUUCACUAUGUGUUGCUUAAAACAACUUCCUUUCUAUCUUCUUUGCUUCUCUCUACUUUCUUGGACUCUUAAUAUACAUGCCUUUCCUAAGGCUAACACAAUACACUUGGAGGUUUUGAAGACACUCUUAUAACACAAUCGAAACAACUCAUCAAAAAUAGGGGUGAUUCCCACAUUUGGUGAUGACUUUCACUCAUCUAUACUUUGAAUUUUGCACGAAAUCUACCCUCAAGUUAGGAGUGAUAUCCAAAUCUUGAAAGGAAUUUCCAUUUCAUAUUCUAGUGGACCCUUAUCUUUUGAUAAGUACCAACCACACUAGGGUACGAUGUUAUCAAGUUAGAGGUGAAACUCGCAUCUUGUUAACUAGUCCCACUCUUCGAUUUUCAAUCUCGCCAAAGUUUUGAUUUUCCCAAUCGAUUAAGAACGUGUAGUAACUGGAAGGACAAAUAUCGUUAGUCGCUUCUCGAUGAGAGUAUUUGUCUAUUAGGCCAAAACACGUUUCCUUAAUUCGAAAAGGACUUCGAUUUACUUUGGAAUAGUCAUAUGUUAUGUUCCGUGACAAUCCAUGUUUUACGUUAAAUCUCUUUUAUGCUAUCUCAAUUUUCAUGUGUUUUACAUUUGUACGAUAUAUCAUUUCAAUCUAAUACAUGCAUGCUAGUAUGUUAUACUGGAUUUGUGAUUACUGGGUUAUUCUUAUGUGAUAAACUUGUCUUUUAACCCACAUCUUAACAUGUAUAGCACUAUGCGUAGUGCUAUAGGAGUAGCGCCCGCCCGUAUUCUAGUGGUCAUGUUAAAUUAACAACAUUACACCCUCUUCGUUGCGACGAUGUUGGGUAGUCAACUUUGCGGUACACGAUGGGUUGACCUGUUUAUUCACAUGCCAGUGAUACGUUAAUCUUGUUAACUAAGUAUGUAAUGUGAAUUGUUCUAAAUUUUAUGCUAAUACUCAUAUUUCCAAAAAUGGAAGCUUAUCGUAAAGAUAGGAGUGAUUUCUUUACCUUGACGAUUAGCUCCCCUCACUUUUCAACUUCACCAAUGAGCUAGGGGUGAUUUCCUUACCUCAGAGGCAGUUACUAACUCUUUUUUUCGUUAUCAAUGAAACUUUAUAUUUGAACGUCACUUUCAUUUCAAGCUUGGAGACACGUAUCGCACUAUCUUCAAAAUCUAAAGCAAUAAUAACCUCUCAUGAACGAACUAAAUUUACGUUGCUUCACUAUGUGAAAACUCAUGUUAUGCUAUGUAAAACUAAUUGAACAUUUUAUUUGCUAUGUGAAACUAAUUGAACAAACUAUAUACUAUGUGAAACUAUUUGAAACAUUACAUGCUAUGUGACGCAUUCAUGAAAACAACUUCCCAUAAACAAAACAUUAUGAUGAAGGUCUCAUGUAUUCUUUCUUUUAAAUCUUUAGAUGUCCUCUUUUCAGAAGUCUCACUCUUAGAUUUCGAGGACGAAAUCUCCUAAAGUAGGGGAGACUGUAACAUCCGUCAAAUCGACCCGUCCCAAAAUUUGACCCGUUUUGAAAGAUCCGAAUCCUAACCUUGAACCAACGGAAAUUUUUCGCGAAAUGAAUAAUCGUUUAAAUUUUUUUUAAUGCGGUUAUAAAUAUGGUUAAUUAUUUAGUCGUUUAAAUAAUUAAACUAAUUAAUUUUACCAUUAAAAAAGUUAUUUAUUUCUUUAAUUAAUUAAUUAAUUUAAAGAUGUUAGAAAUGAGUUUUAAGGUUAUAUGAUUAACCAAGUUAACUUAUCAAGUUAAUUAAGUUUUUAAACUUAAGGGACCAUUUAUGUAACUAUUAAGAAUAUAAUAUGAUCAUCACCCUAAACUAAAUUACAUGCACAACUUUUUUUUUCCUAGUUUGCCGCCAAAAAGGAAACAGCAACUAUCAUUUCCUUUCCAUCUUCCUUCGUUGAUUUCACGCGAUUACAACUAUUAAAUAGUUUCCAAUUUUAAGUCCUUGACAACCUGUAAACACGUCAAUACCCGAAAUCCCUUUAUGAUGACCAAGAAUAACCCAACCCCUUUCACCUAUAUAUACCCUCUCAUACCUUGUCUCGACACCUCACAACCUGCAUCUUGUUCGCCGUAGUCGGAAUCCCGCCGGAGCCACGAAACCACCGGAAGCCUACGUCGGAACUUGAAGACGUUGUCGAGUACGCUACCAGGAGUUCCAACAACCCACCGGAGUCCGAGGGAUCUACCAGAGACACCUACAGCAGCGGGGACAAAGCCGUAGUCGGAACCGGGAUCACGUCGACGUUCGUGUCGUCACCGUUCGAGAUCAUGUUUGAUGUUAAUCACUUUUGUUCAUCCUCUUGGUUUCCUAUCAAUUACUCGUGCAUUAUUACAAGAAAACGCAAAGCAACCAAUGUUGAUAGACAAGAUGAUGAAGAAGCAAGUUAGGGUGGACUAGAAACUCACCUAGAAAAUAAACUAUGUUUUAAAUUUGAUUUAUGUUUUGAUCAUGUUGAACAAUGUAUGACAUUUUAGUCAUUUAUGAAAUUUGACU
RNAcentral lists this long non-coding RNA (3171 nucleotides) under Helianthus annuus (common sunflower). RNAcentral's name for it is "hypothetical non coding rna". The record is from RNAcentral. Lineage: Eukaryota; Viridiplantae; Streptophyta; Magnoliopsida; Asterales; Asteraceae.